UUGAAGGGACCCGUGGAAGGGUAGAAGUGCCUGAACAGGGGAGUCUGGGUAAUACAUUGUUAACAGUUAUUUAGCGCCUGCUAAUGGGCACGUGGAACACUGCCAGGCAUUUUAUGGCGGAAGUGGCAUGAGAGCAGGGAAGGUGUGUGAGUUUCUUUCUGUGUGCGUGUGGGGAGAGACCUACAUACAAGGCAGCGAGGACAUGGUUUUAGUGCUGCAGCUGAUCUGAGGAAAAAAACAGACAUCACACAGAUGCAGUGUGGAUGUCGUUGUACGGGGAGAAGUGCAACAUUCAUCUUCAGCCAUCUGCUUCCCUCCAAAAUCGAGGGUCCCUGCUACACAUCCGGCAUGUCCUGGGGAGGCAGACCCUAGUCCGAGAACUGCUGGAUCCUCUGCAUGCCUCCACUAAGAAAAGCCACGACUUGAACUCCGUGCCUAUCUGCAGUUGAAGCAACACUGCAAAGUAAACGACCGGGGCCCCUCCGAGCGUAUCCUGCUUAUGCUGGCCCAGAAUCACUCGUCAUCCAAGUGAAGUGACCCCCGCGUUCUUUCAUAAAGUUAACCUUCCAUUCAAAAUGUGGUAUUUACUGACACACUUGAUAGAAGUUGACGGAUCUAUGACAUUUAUUGAUUUUCUUUUUACGAGCCGGUUCUGGUCUCGACGCCGUUUAUUCAGGCCUCUGUGCGCCUCGGAUGCUAUUCUAGUUGAACUCCUGCUCUGGCUGCAAUAGCUUGUCUCAUUUGCACAAGCGCAACAGACACACAAAGACUGAAAGAGAGAGAGACAGAUGGCUCUGUGCACCUCUGAGUUACAGCCCGAAGCAGCGGGAGUCAUUUCUUAUUCAGAGAUAAAAAAAAAUGCUUUGCUCAGCUUACUAGGCUGCUGCUACACACAUCACAUUAUUGCUUUCAUGCUAUCAAACUGAAACUUAUUUAGUAUAAUUAUCUCACUGUCUACAGAUAAAACGAAAGAAGAGGGUUCAAUAUAAGAAUUUACUACUGUAGUUAAGAAAAAAAGGAGUGUUUAGAGUAGGGAGGUGAGAGGAAGCAAAACUGGAACAACGAUAAAAAUUGUAACUAAAAUUGCAACUAGUCUGAAGUCUGUCCAU
Molecule: long non-coding RNA, 1109 nt
Organism: Oreochromis niloticus (Nile tilapia)
Lineage: Eukaryota; Metazoa; Chordata; Actinopteri; Cichliformes; Cichlidae
Exons: 2
Source: RefSeq, a predicted model, not a curated record